Molecule: long non-coding RNA, 344 nt
Filed under: Ananas comosus (pineapple)
Lineage: Eukaryota; Viridiplantae; Streptophyta; Magnoliopsida; Poales; Bromeliaceae
Description: long non-coding RNA (ACOM_LNC006309)
Source: RNAcentral
UUUAUAAAUUUAUAUGAUGAAGAUCAUUUAAAUUUGGCUAUCAAUUUUUUUAAAAUUUUAAUUGUAUUAUUUAAAUUUUUAUUUAUUUGAUUUAAAUCGGUCAAUAAUAUUUUAACUCUAAAAUUUAAGCUAUUUACUUACUUUACUAAACUUAUAGUUGUAACAACUAUAAGUCUGUAAAAAUAAACAGUAUAUUUAAAUUUUAAAGUUGAAGUGUCUUUAACUGAUUCUAAUUAGAUAAAUUAAAAAAUUAGAUAGUAAAAUCAAAUAAAAGUUUAGACAGUCAAAUCUAAAUAGUCCAAAGUUUAGACAAGUUUUGUACAUUUUUAUCCAAAAUGUAUAUA